UUAGGCGAACGGGUGAGUAACGCGUGAGUAACCUGCCCUGGAGUGGGGGGACGAACAGUUGGAAACGACUGCUAAUACCGCAUAAGCCCACGAUCCGGCAUCGGAUUGAGGGAAAAGGAUUUAUUCGCUUCAGGAUGGACUCGCGUCCAAUUAGCUGGUUGGUGAGGUAACGGCCCACCAAGGCGACGAUUGGUAGCCGGACUGAGAGGUUGAACGGCCACAUUGGGACUGAGACACGGCCCAG
This 244-nucleotide ribosomal RNA is filed under the name uncultured bacterium. RNAcentral's name for it is "partial 16S ribosomal RNA". It matches the Rfam family "Bacterial small subunit ribosomal RNA", at positions 94 to 334 of the family's 1533-position model. The record is from RNAcentral.